This 260-nucleotide long non-coding RNA is filed under the name Elaeis guineensis (African oil palm). RNAcentral's name for it is "long non-coding RNA (EGUI_LNC012653)". Lineage: Eukaryota; Viridiplantae; Streptophyta; Magnoliopsida; Arecales; Arecaceae. The record is from RNAcentral.
GAUGCAGGAUCCAGAGCAUGGGGUUGCGAGAUCCAUGAGGGUGGGAUGCGAGAUCCAGAGGAGAGAGUCUCCUAUUCCUUCUCUUCUUCCUCCUCCACUCCAUCUUCUUUGAGAGAGUCUGAGAGAUCGAUGGAGAUCAACAUCAUCAACCAUUAGGAGGUGGCUUCUGCAAGGGCCCUACCACUCCGAUAAAGCAAUGGGCCUCUGAUCGGAUCGAAGGCUUUAUGUGAAUAUCUAUAAAGGCCAGACACGUGUAUGGC